This is a long non-coding RNA of Vidua chalybeata, 503 nucleotides long. RefSeq lists it as uncharacterized. The record is from RefSeq and is a predicted model, not a curated record. NCBI's taxonomy places the organism in Eukaryota, Metazoa, Chordata, Aves, Passeriformes, Viduidae. The transcript is spliced from 3 exons.
GCCCGGCGCGCGGGGCCGGCGCGCCCAACAGGUCCCGGGCGGGAAGGGCAGCGGGGAGCGCUGCUCGGGCCCUCAGGGCUCUCAGCCGGGCCGGGGCAGCGGGGGGCCCUGUGAAAAACAAUAUGGGGCCAUGUAAUUAAAGACUCUCAUAAUGAGCUCAAAUCUUUAUUUCCCUGAAGGACCAAACCCUUGCCUAUGUGUUUUAACACUUUGGAAAAAAUCCCCAAACCCUACAAAAACCAUCACAACUGUCAGUAACUUGAAAUUUUAUGCCGUUCCUUACACCUCCUGCAACACGGACUAUUAAGGACAAGGACUAAAUGCAGCAAAGUCACCUACUGUCUCUUCUACAUUUUGUAAAGGAUGAAGCUUUUAUCAAAUUCACCUUUUUUGUGAUUUUUGUAUUGCUUUCCUUGUUCUUGUAAUUACACAAUUCAAAUGCAACAUUCAAAAGGGGUAAAUGCUCCUCAGAAACAGCUUUCUCUCUCUACCCAUUGGUUACU